UACAACUUUUUAGAGGGAAUAUUCGAACGUCAUUUUUGAGGAAUUUUGACAGCCCUAAUGGAUAGGGCUAUUUGAUGCAGCUGACAUUGACCUUUCUUUAUGGAACGAACAUGGCAGCGGGCAAGAGUUGUCUCCUUUAGAUCAUUCAACACCAUCUUCCCUCACGGACACCAUAUCACUUUCUUCAAGUGACAGUGACCUUCGAGAACUGGGUAUUACCACAGGCAGAAAUAGAUCCAGCAAAGAAGACAUGAGCAGUUCUGCAACAAAGGCUUCCGUGUCAGAGGCGGCAAAGGAGAUGGUAGAAAAGUCCUUGCUUAAGAAGCCUGGAGGAGAGGACAUUCUUGAAGAGUACAAGUGAGAAAAUUCACUAAUGCACCGC
Esox lucius (northern pike) is the source of this 382-nucleotide long non-coding RNA. RefSeq lists it as uncharacterized. The record is from RefSeq and is a predicted model, not a curated record. The transcript has 3 exons. Lineage: Eukaryota; Metazoa; Chordata; Actinopteri; Esociformes; Esocidae.